This 496-nucleotide ribosomal RNA is filed under the name uncultured bacterium. RNAcentral describes it as "partial 16S ribosomal RNA". It matches the Rfam family "Bacterial small subunit ribosomal RNA", at positions 29 to 507 of the family's 1533-position model. The record is from RNAcentral.
AUGAACGCUGGCGGCGUGCCUAAUACAUGCAAGUCGAGCGAACAGAUGAGGAGCUUGCUCCUCUGACGUUAGCGGCGGACGGGUGAGUAACACGUGGAUAACCUACCUAUAAGACUGGGAUAACUUCGGGAAACCGGAGCUAAUACCGGAUAAUAUAUUGAACCGCAUGGUUCAAUAGUGAAAGACGGUUUUGCUGUCACUUAUAGAUGGAUCCGCGCCGCAUUAGCUAGUUGGUAAGGUAACGGCUUACCAAGGCAACGAUGCGUAGCCGACCUGAAAGGGUGAUCGGCCACACUGGAACUGAGACACGGUCCAGACUCCUACGGGAGGCAGCAGUAGGGAAUCUUCCGCAAUGGGCGAAAGCCUGACGGAGCAACGCCGCGUGAGUGAUGAAGGUCUUCGGAUCGUAAAACUCUGUUAUUAGGGAAGAACAAAUGUGUAAGUAACUAUGCACGUCUUGACGGUACCUAAUCAGAAAGCCACGGCUAACUACGUG